CCUACGGGUGGCAGCAGUGGGGAAUAUUGCACAAUGGGGGAAACCCUGAUGCAGCGACGCCGCGUGAGCGAUGAAGUAUUUCGGUAUGUAAAGCUCUAUCAGCAGGGAAGAAAAUGACGGUACCUGACUAAGAAGCCCCGGCUAACUACGUGCCAGCAGCCGCGGUAAUACGUAGGGGGCAAGCGUUGUUCGGAAUUACUGGGCGUAAAGGGAGUGUAGGCGGUUUAGUAAGAUAGUGGUGAAAUCCCAGGGCUUAACUUUGGAAUUGCCAUUAUAACUAUUAGACUAGAAUUACAGAGAGGAUAGUGGAAUACCCAGUGUAGAGGUGAAAUUCGUAGAUAUUGGGUAGAACACCAGUGGCGAAGGCGACUAUCUGGCUGUACAUUGACGCUGAGGCUCGAAAGCAUGGGGAUCAAACAGGAUUAGAUACCCCUGUAGUC
RNAcentral lists this ribosomal RNA (440 nucleotides) under uncultured bacterium. RNAcentral's name for it is "partial 16S ribosomal RNA". It matches the Rfam family "Bacterial small subunit ribosomal RNA", at positions 338 to 795 of the family's 1533-position model. The record is from RNAcentral.